RNAcentral lists this ribosomal RNA (482 nucleotides) under uncultured bacterium. Its description in RNAcentral is "SSU rRNA". It matches the Rfam family "Bacterial small subunit ribosomal RNA", at positions 26 to 517 of the family's 1533-position model. The record is from RNAcentral.
AGGACGAACGCUGGCGGCGUGCCUAACACAUGCAAGUCGAACGCGCUCCAUUCGGUAGCAAUACUGAUGAAGAGCGAGUGGCGAACGGGUGAGUAGCACGUGAGCAACCUGCCCCGAAGACUGGGACAACACCGGGAAACCGGUGCUAAUACCGGAUAUCCCUAUUGGAUCGCAUGAUCCGAUAAGGAAAUGUUUUUCGCUUCGGGAGGGGCUCGCGGCCUAUCAGCUAGUUGGUGGGGUAACGGCCCACCAAGGCAUCGACGGGUAGCUGGUCUGAGAGGACGAUCAGCCACACUGGGACUGAGACACGGCCCAGACUCCUACGGGAGGCAGCAGUGGGGGAAUCUUGCGCAAUGGGCGAAAGCCUGACGCAGCAACGCCGCGUGGAGGACGAAGGCUUUCUGAGUUGUAAACUCCUUUCAGCAGGGACGAUAGUGACGGUACCUGCAGAAGAGCACCGGCCAACUACGUGCCAGCAGCCG